RNAcentral lists this ribosomal RNA (585 nucleotides) under uncultured bacterium. RNAcentral's name for it is "bacterial SSU rRNA". It matches the Rfam family "Bacterial small subunit ribosomal RNA", at positions 338 to 916 of the family's 1533-position model. The record is from RNAcentral.
CCUACGGGAGGCAGCAGUGGGGAAUUUUGGACAAUGGGGGCAACCCUGAUCCAGCAAUGCCGCGUGUGUGAAGAAGGCCUUCGGGUUGUAAAGCACUUUUGUCCGGAAAGAAAUCGCGCUGGUUAAUACCUGGCGUGGAUGACGGUACCGGAAGAAUAAGCACCGGCUAACUACGUGCCAGCAGCCGCGGUAAUACGUAGGGUGCGAGCGUUAAUCGGAAUUACUGGGCGUAAAGCGUGCGCAGGCGGUUUUGUAAGACAGGCGUGAAAUCCCCGGGCUUAACCUGGGAAUUGCGCUUGUGACUGCAAGGCUAGAGUGCGUCAGAGGGGGGUAGAAUUCCACGUGUAGCAGUGAAAUGCGUAGAGAUGUGGAGGAAUACCGAUGGCGAAGGCAGCCCCCUGGGACGUGACUGACGCUCAUGCACGAAAGCGUGGGGAGCAAACAGGAUUAGAUACCCUGGUAGUCCACGCCCUAAACGAUGUCAACUAGUUGUUGGGGAUUCAUUUUCUCAGUAACGUAGCUAACGCGUGAAGUUGACCGCCUGGGGAGUACGGUCGCAAGAUUAAAACUCAAAUGAAUUGACGG